UUGUUAAUGAGAGGACGCCGGGGACGGACAAGCAAUGCCCGUCUUGAUUGAUGGUCGCCGUGGUUGUCCCCUAGCAGAAGUCGAAACGCGCGCAUCAAAAGCGACGCCGUUUCCGCGUCACGAACGGGCAUUCAUACUUCCUUUCAUAUCAAACAAACACGCUAAUACCACCAAAGGAAAAGGUGAAGCUUUCAAUAUCUCCUGUUCCUUUCGGUUUUAAUUCGAAUCCGGAUCUUAAUUCAAUGUCGAAAAUGGCUGCUUCGUCAGACUCAUGGAUGAAGGAGUACAAUGAGGCUGUAAAGCUUGCAGAUGAUAUCAAUAGCAUGAUAUCGGAGCGUAGUUCUAUGCCUGGAACUGGGCCGGAGACCCAGCGCCAUGCGUCAGCAAUAAGGAGGAAAAUUACAAUAUUGGGUACAAGGCUUGAUAGCUUACAGAGCCUUUUGUCAAGGCCCACUGGCAAGCCCUUAACAGAGAAAGAGAUGAAUCGUCGCAAGGAUAUGGUUGCAAAUAUGAGGUCGAAAGUGAACCAAAUGGCUUCCGCGUUGAACAUGUCAAACUUUGCCAACAGAGACAGUUUGCUCGGCCCAGAAAUAAAGUCAGCCGAUGCUAUGAGCAGAACAAAUGGUUUGGAUAACUAUGGCGUAGUUGGUCUGCAACGACAGAUAAUGAAAGAACAAGAUGAGGGCCUUGAGAAGUUGGAGCAAACAGUGACAAGCACGAAGCACAUUGCUUUGGCAGUCAAUGAAGAGCUUGACCUUCAUACCCGACUAAUUGAUGACUUGGAUGAACAUGUGGAUGUUACAGACUCUCAUUUGCGGAAUUUCUGAGCUAGCAUAUCCUAUAGGUGGUAUGAGCUUUGCAAUAUACAUCCCCAUGAAUGACUGAAUUGUGAUGAGUAUGUUUGUUUACGCCAUGACUACCUGAUCACUGGAAUAUUGGCCAUUACUUAGUCUUACACUGACCGUGCCCAUCUAAAGGCCCUAGCGAGUGCAGAAGACUCUGGCAGUUCUGAAUAAGCGCACCAAAGGUGGUUGCUCCUGCAUGUCUAUGCUGCUGGCAGUUGUGGGGAUCGUCAUUCUAGUUGUUGCUAUUUAUCUACUUGUCAAAUACUUGUAAUACCACAAAGUAUAAC
RNA transcript from Tripterygium wilfordii, 1132 nucleotides. It is a transcript of the gene named syntaxin-51-like, with no coding region annotated. Lineage: Eukaryota; Viridiplantae; Streptophyta; Magnoliopsida; Celastrales; Celastraceae. The transcript has 7 exons. The record is from RefSeq and is a predicted model, not a curated record.